Molecule: unclassified non-coding RNA, 341 nt
Filed under: soil metagenome
Description: partial contains 5.8S ribosomal RNA, internal transcribed spacer 2, and large subunit ribosomal RNA
Rfam family: 5.8S ribosomal RNA (bases 1-120)
Source: RNAcentral
GAUGAAGAACGUAGCGAAAUGCGAUAAGUAGUGUGAAUUGCAGAAUUCAGUGAAUCAUCGAAUCUUUGAACGCACAUUGCGCCCUUUGGUAUUCCAAAGGGCAUGCCUGUUCGAGCGUCAUUUGUACCCUCAAGCUUUGCUUGGUGUUGGGCGUCUUGUCUCUAGCUUUGCUGGAGACUCGCCUUAAAGUAAUUGGCAGCCGGCCUACUGGUUUCGGAGCGCAGCACAAGUCGCACUCUCUAUCAGCAAAGGUCUAGCAUCCAUUAAGCCUUUUUUUCAACUUUUGACCUCGGAUCAGGUAGGGAUACCCGCUGAGCUUAAGCAUAUCAAUAAGCGGAGGA